Gasterosteus aculeatus aculeatus (three-spined stickleback) is the source of this 131-nucleotide small nucleolar RNA. Ensembl annotates it as Small nucleolar RNA ACA64. The record is from Ensembl. NCBI's taxonomy places the organism in Eukaryota, Metazoa, Chordata, Actinopteri, Perciformes, Gasterosteidae.
CCAGAUUGAAAAUAAGCCCAGGUGAACCCGUGACCUGGGGUCAGAUAUCUGUGCCCACAGCACCGUGGUGCAUUAAGCUUAUUGCGUGUGUCUCCUGGUGGCUGCGUGAUAAAACCCAUGUACCUACACUG